This is a non-coding RNA of Schistosoma rodhaini, 47 nucleotides long. The record is from Rfam. Lineage: Eukaryota; Metazoa; Platyhelminthes; Trematoda; Strigeidida; Schistosomatidae.
ACACUGCUGAGGAGUCCCAUACCAGGACGAAACGGCCGUCUAGUCAU